RNAcentral lists this non-coding RNA (152 nucleotides) under Partenskyella glossopodia. Lineage: Eukaryota; Cercozoa; Chlorarachniophyceae. The record is from RNAcentral.
AGGGUAAGAGUCGCACCUGGCGGCAAGUCGAGUGUGCAGCUUGGGGGUCCGCACUUGGAGAAAGACAAAACAAGGAAGAAAAAAAAGGUUUUCCCAGUUGCUCAGGGCAAGCCCAUCGCGACUCUGACACCUAGAGAGAUGGCAGCUAAGGA